CCUACGGGGGGCAGCAGUCGAGAAUCAUUCACAAUGGGGGAAACCCUGAUGGUGCGACGCCGCGUGGGGGAAUGAAGGUCUUCGGAUUGUAAACCCCUGUCAUGUGGGAGCAAAUUAAAAAGAUAGUACCACAAGAGGAAGAGACGGCUAACUCUGUGCCAGCAGCCGCGGUAAUACAGAGGUCUCAAGCGUUGUUCGGAAUCACUGGGCGGAAAGCGUGCGUAGGCUGUUUCGUAAGUCGGAUGUGAAAGGCACGGGCUCAACCCGCGGAAGGCACAUGAUACUGCGAAACUAGAGUGAAGGAGAGGGAACCGGAAUUCUCGGUGUAGCAGUGAAAUGCGUAGAUAUCGAGAGGAACACUCAUGGCGAAGGCGGGUUCCUGGACAUUAACUGACGCUGAGGCACGAAGGCCAGGGGAGCGAAAGGGAUUAGAUACCCCGGUAGUC
RNAcentral lists this ribosomal RNA (446 nucleotides) under uncultured bacterium. Its description in RNAcentral is "partial 16S ribosomal RNA". It matches the Rfam family "Bacterial small subunit ribosomal RNA", at positions 338 to 795 of the family's 1533-position model. The record is from RNAcentral.